GAAAAACAAGCAAGUCAAGUCAAUGGUUCAUUGGUUUUCUUUCUUUCCAUUAUAUAUGUUCAGCUUUGUUUUGUAGUCACUUUCUGCGGGCAAAGGUUGCAACACUUUCACCCUUCCAUACCAAAAAUUAAAAUUAAAUUUUUUGAGUCAAUUCCAACACCACAUCUUCAUUCCAUCAAAACACAACAAAACCAAACCAAACAUAACACACCUUUGUAAACUCCGAUGAUGAAUAAGAACACAGACAUCAUCAUGAGUUAUU
This 262-nucleotide long non-coding RNA is filed under the name Glycine max (soybean). Its description in RNAcentral is "long non-coding RNA (GMAX_LNC003146)". Lineage: Eukaryota; Viridiplantae; Streptophyta; Magnoliopsida; Fabales; Fabaceae. The record is from RNAcentral.